CCAAUAGCGUAUAUUAAAGUUGUUGCAGUUAAAAAGCUCGUAGUUGAAUUUCGGGGUUUAUCCGUUGGUCGGGCUUUUUGGGUCUGUACUGGCGUGAUGGAUUCCUACCUUCUGAAUAACCAGCAUGUCAUUAAUUUGGUGCGUUGGGGAAGCAGGACUGUUACCUUGAAAAAAUUAGAGUGCUUAAAGCAGGCUAUUGCCUGAAUACAUUAGCAUGGAAUAAUGAAAUAGGACGCAUGGUUCUAUUUUGUUGGUUUCUAGGAUCACCGUAAUGAUUAAUAGGGAUAGUUGGGGGCAUUAGUAUUCAAUUGUCAGAGGUGAAAUUCUUGGAUUUAUUGAAGACUAACUUCUGCGAAAGCAUUUGCCAAGGAUGUUUUCAUUAAUCAAGAACGAAAGUUAGGGGAUCGAAGACGAUCAGAUACCGUCGUAGUCUUAACCAUAAACUAUGCCGACUAGGGAUCGGACGAUGUUAAUUUUUUAAUGACUCGUUCGGCGCCUUACG
Molecule: ribosomal RNA, 502 nt
Filed under: uncultured Glomeromycotina
Lineage: Eukaryota; Fungi; Glomeromycota
Description: partial small subunit ribosomal RNA
Rfam family: Eukaryotic small subunit ribosomal RNA
Source: RNAcentral